This 72-nucleotide transfer RNA is filed under the name Teichococcus vastitatis. RNAcentral's name for it is "tRNA-Ala". It matches the Rfam family "tRNA". Rfam says of the family: Transfer RNA (tRNA) molecules are approximately 80 nucleotides in length. The record is from RNAcentral. Lineage: Bacteria; Pseudomonadati; Pseudomonadota; Alphaproteobacteria; Acetobacterales; Roseomonadaceae.
GGGGGCGUAGCUCAGCGGGAGAGCGCCUGCUUUGCAAGCAGGGGGUCGUCGGUUCGAUCCCGAUCGCCUCCA